Small nuclear RNA from Echinops telfairi (small Madagascar hedgehog), 108 nucleotides. The record is from RefSeq and is a predicted model, not a curated record. NCBI's taxonomy places the organism in Eukaryota, Metazoa, Chordata, Mammalia, Afrosoricida, Tenrecidae.
GGGCCCACUUCAGCAGCACAUAUACUAUCAUUGGAAAUGAGACAGAGAAGAUUGGUAUGGUCUUUGUGCAAGGAUGACACGCAUAUUCAUGAAAUGUUCCACUUUGGG